UUCUUUUUCCACCGGAGCUUGCUCCACCGGAAAAAGAAGAGUGGCGAACGGGUGAGUAACACGUGGGUAACCUGCCCAUCAGAAGGGGAUAACACUUGGAAACAGGUGCUAAUACCGUAUAACAAUCGAAACCGCAUGGUUUUGAUUUGAAAGGCGCUUUCGGGUGUCRCUGAUGGAUGGACCCGCGGUGCAUUAGCUAGUUGGUGAGGUAACGGCUCACCAAGGCCACGAUGCAUAGCCGACCUGAGAGGGUGAUCGGCCACAUUGGGACUGAGACACGGCCCAAACUCCUACGGGAGGCAGCAGUAGGGAAUCUUCGGCAAUGGACGAAAGUCUGACCGAGCAACGCCGCGUGAGUGAAGAAGGUUUUCGGAUCGUAAAACUCUGUUGUUAGAGAAGAACAAGGAUGAGAGUAACUGUUCAUCCCUUGACGGUAUCUAACCAGAAAGCCACGGCUAACUACGUGCCAGCAGCCGCGGUAAUACGUAGGUGGCAAGCGUUGUCCGGAUUUAUUGGGCGUAAAGCGAGCGCAGGCGGUUUCUUAAGUCUGAUGUGAAAGCCCCCGGCUCAACCGGGGAGGGUCAUUGGAAACUGGGAGACUUGAGUGCAGAAGAGGAGAGUGGAAUUCCAUGUGUAGCGGUGAAAUGCGUAGAUAUAUGGAGGAACACCAGUGGCGAAGGCGGCUCUCUGGUCUGUAACUGACGCUGAGGCUCGAAAGCGUGGGGAGCAAACAGGAUUAGAUACCCUGGUAGUCCACGCCGUAAACGAUGAGUGCUAAGUGUUGGAGGGUUUCCGCCCUUCAGUGCUGCAGCUAACGCAUUAAGCACUCCGCCUGGGGGAGUACGACCGCAAGGUUGAAACUCAAAGGAAUUGACGGGGGCCCGCACAAGCGGUGGAGCAUGUGGUUUAAUUCGAAGCAACGCGAAGAAACCUUACCAGGUCUUGACAUCCUUUUGACCACUCUGGAGAUAGAGCUUCCCCCUUCGGGGGGCAAAGUGACCGGUKGGUGCAAGGGUUGUCCUUCAGCCUCGU
RNAcentral lists this ribosomal RNA (1032 nucleotides) under Enterococcus durans. RNAcentral describes it as "bacterial SSU rRNA". The record is from RNAcentral. Lineage: Bacteria; Bacillati; Bacillota; Bacilli; Lactobacillales; Enterococcaceae.